GGUCACGAGUGUCAGCGUCAAGCCCUGGCUGGCUGAACGGCAACCCUCCCACGCGGCGGGGUGCUCCAGGUGAGGACCCGGCGGAGCCGAGAACGGCGCCCGCAAGCGCGAGCU
RNAcentral lists this non-coding RNA (114 nucleotides) under Streptacidiphilus jiangxiensis. Its description in RNAcentral is "SAM-IV sequence". It matches the Rfam family "SAM (S-adenosyl methionine) riboswitch aptamer". From Rfam's summary of the family: SAM-IV is a mRNA element that regulates gene expression via direct sensing of S-adenosylmethionine (SAM or AdoMet). SAM-IV riboswitches share conserved nucleotide positions with the previously described SAM-I riboswitches sequence analysis and molecular recognition experiments suggest that SAM-I and SAM-IV riboswitches share similar ligand binding sites, but have different scaffolds. Lineage: Bacteria; Bacillati; Actinomycetota; Actinomycetes; Kitasatosporales; Streptomycetaceae. The record is from Rfam by way of RNAcentral.